This 253-nucleotide ribosomal RNA is filed under the name uncultured bacterium. RNAcentral's name for it is "partial 16S ribosomal RNA". It matches the Rfam family "Bacterial small subunit ribosomal RNA", at positions 524 to 776 of the family's 1533-position model. The record is from RNAcentral.
UACGAAGGACCCAAGCGUUAUCCGGAUUCAUUGGGUUUAAAGGGUGCGUAGGCGGGCCUAUAAGUCAGUGGUGAAAGCCCUUCGCUUAACGAAGGAAUUGCCAUUGAUACUGUAGGUCUUGAGUACAGUUGAGGUGGGCGGAAUGUGUCAUGUAGCGGUGAAAUGCUUAGAUAUGACACAGAACACCGAUUGCGAAGGCAGCUCGCUAAACUGUAACUGACGCUGAGGCACGAAAGCGUGGGGAGCAAACAGG